RNAcentral lists this small RNA (861 nucleotides) under Oryza sativa Japonica Group (Japanese rice). RNAcentral's name for it is "sRNA Os12g0514550". Lineage: Eukaryota; Viridiplantae; Streptophyta; Magnoliopsida; Poales; Poaceae. The record is from RNAcentral.
CCCUUAUUUCUUCUGGCUAUCGUCCACCAACUCCGGCUCAAUCACCUCGGCUUCAAUCGGCUCAGAGCUGACAGGUGAGUCUCGCUGCAGGUUCAUCUCAGCGGGUUGAGCGUGCGAGGCCCACUUGCUGGCCAUAGCUGUGCUCAUCAUCUCAUAUAUCUUCCCACUUAGCUCGGCAGGGUGUACUUACUGUAAAGCCACUAGAGAUCAUAGAAGUUUCAAACAGGAUAUCUACAGCCUUUAGAGCUUCUGGGUCAUCAGGCAGACCGAACACUUACAUUCAAGCCCUUGAUGAUCUCAUGCUCUGGGUUGAUUUCAAAAACUUUCCUAGAACGCAUGAAAUCCAGAGAUGACAUGUCACCCAUAGAUUGCGCUCUCAUCAACCUACUAACCUUUCCAUGUUCGCAGACCAACCAAACUUAGCUGCAACUAGAACACAUGGUGAUGAGCUGAGACGGUUUGAUAUAUCAACUCGAGCAACCUUUUCACCCAAGCGUUUCUUGAUCCAGUCACAUGUUUGGCUGUAUUCCUGCUUGAUCUCCUUCUCUUUUUCCUCAUUCUUAUCACCUAAUCCAAGUCUUCCUUGCUAAUAUCAACGAAACGCUUAUCCUUGUAGGAGUUCAGAUUUGUGACAGACACUUCAUCCAUUGGCUAUUCACAGUACAUACCUCGUACUCUUUUUCAUUGAGCUUCUCCAGGAAAGGAGCAUGUUUUGCACUACUCAAACUGUCCGCAGCAAUGUAGUAAAUGUCCUUUUGCUCAGGUUUCAUAUUUUCCACGUAUUCAUCCAAGCUAAUUAAUUCUUCAUUGCUUUGAGAAGAAAAGAAUCGGAGCAAAGGAGCAAUUCUCUUGUGAUUUUCC